This 266-nucleotide ribosomal RNA is filed under the name uncultured archaeon. Its description in RNAcentral is "partial 16S ribosomal RNA". It matches the Rfam family "Archaeal small subunit ribosomal RNA", at positions 717 to 982 of the family's 1478-position model. The record is from RNAcentral.
AGACGUCUACAUUAGAUACCCGCGUAGUCCCAGCCGUAAACUAUGCGCGUUAGGUGUAUCGGUGACCACGAGUUACCGAGGUGCCGAAGGGAAACCGUGAAACGUGCCGCCUGGGAAGUACGGUCGCAAGGCUGAAACUUAAAGGAAUUGGCGGGGGAGCACCACAACAGGUGGAGCCUGCGGUUUAAUUUGGACUCAACGCCGGGAAGCUCACCGGAUAGGACAGCAGAAUGAUUGCCGGGCUGAAGACCCUGCAUGACUAGCUG